This is a long non-coding RNA of Fukomys damarensis (Damara mole-rat), 1528 nucleotides long. RefSeq lists it as uncharacterized. The transcript has 4 exons. Lineage: Eukaryota; Metazoa; Chordata; Mammalia; Rodentia; Bathyergidae. The record is from RefSeq and is a predicted model, not a curated record.
CCCAGAGACAGGGAAGAUUUCAUGACAACUCCCAGGAAAUUGCAAGUACAAGUCUCUCUGCCUAGGAAGCCAACUGUGAGAUAGGGUGAUUACCCCCAGCCAGGGAAUGCAAUGUGAGCAGACUGGCAGGUGGGAGGAAGAAUCUGACAGCUGGGCUACUUGAAGAAAACGACUGAAAGUAUCCAGCACUGAGUUUGGCAGGAUGUACACCCGAUAGCUCACUCCAGCAGAGGCUGUCCACACACCUCCCUUCUUCCAGCCGCUGAGAUGGGUCUCUUCUGCUCUCCACCUCCAUGUGGUUACCCACUAGAGCAGUCAAGUCUACAUAAGGACAUCCUGAGUGUCCAACCAGCCUGGAAGUUGGCCAGAUGGAGGUCAGGGGAAGUGGGGGCAAUAACAAGCAGGCCCUGUUCUCAGCCCAACCCCCAGUGCCAGCUCUUCAGGUAGAAAGGACGACUCUUGCCGAAGGAACAGAAAAGGAGCUGCAGAGGGAAAAGGCACACCUGGAUUUCAUCUCAUCACCAGCCGGGAUCUAGGGUAAGAUACAUUUGUUUUCAGAUGGUGUCAUUCCGAGGCAGAGCUUGAAAGAGAUAGGUCGCCAACAAAACUGGAUGUGACAUGAGGAUGAGACGAAGAACUGGAAAGGAAUAGCUGCAGGGCCCGAGGCCAUUGCCCUCAGUCCCUCCUGAGCAAAUGCAGAUCAACAACAGCACUGAACCGAUGGAUGCAUGACUGAGUGCAGAAGAGCAGGCCUCAAAGAAGGAAUGUGCCGGGCAACAGCAGCGUACCAAGAAGCUAAGGCUGCAGCAGCUUGCCAGGAAAGCAGGCUGUACACACACGAGGAUAUGCAGAGGGUGGCAGAAGAGAGAGACACAACCACGAUGUUCAUUCCAUCCAGGAUUGCUUUCAAUUAAUCCCCAAAAGGCAACUUAAUUCUGUUUUCUUUUUAAUAUUUCAAGUUGGAGUUCUAGUAGCAAAAGCUUCUGCCCACAGAGUGCAUCUUGAUUAGAAAGUAAGAGGAGCCCUCUUUUGUGCAGAUGGAAGAAAAACAGAAGAACAAGAAGCACUACUGAAUUUGCUAGGUGGACAGCAGAACAAAGGCCCCAAUGUGCUAGUGUCCUCUGACAAAAGCUGGAAGGGAAGAGGUGGACAUCCAUGGCAGCUGUAAUGCAAGGUGUGUUUAUGACUCAUUUUCCUGCAGUUACUUGUCAGUGUGAUAGAAUCAAAUCUGGACAACUCUGGUGGCUGUUUCUGGAACCCAGCUCAACGUGGUUACAUUUUGUCCUGGGGUUCACUCCAGGAUGUGAUUUCCUCAGGAAUCGGUUUAACCUCUGCAGAUCUGUACUCCAGAAAAGACUCACCUGCUCACAGGCAGAUUAGUAACACCAGCCAGGCACGGGAGAUGGUGUGAAGGGCCUCGUAAAAUGUGGUCGCGCGCUGUUUGUGAGUUGCUGAAUGAUUGUGGAAGUAACUGCGAGAAGAAACUUGAGCUCCUGGACACAUAGUCGUGAAUGAUCCUAAUUUUGGU